Molecule: ribosomal RNA, 469 nt
Filed under: uncultured bacterium
Lineage: Bacteria
Description: partial 16S ribosomal RNA
Rfam family: Bacterial small subunit ribosomal RNA
Source: RNAcentral
GACGAACGCUGGCGGCGUGCUUAACACAUGCAAGUCGAACGGAAAGGCCCUGCUUGCCGGGUGUUCGCGUGGCGAACGGGUGAGUAAAACGUGGGUGAUCUGCCCCUUACUUUGGGUUAAGCCUGGGAAACUGGGUCUAUUAUUGGAUAGAACCAUGCGGUAGGUGGGGUGGUGGAAAGAUUAGUUUCGGUAGGGGAUGAGCUCGCGGCCUAUCAGCUUGUUGGUGGGGUAAUGGCCUGCCAAGGCGUCGACGGGUAGCCGGCCUGAGAGGGUGGACGGCCACAUUGGGACUGGGAUACGGCCCAGACUCCUACGGGAGGCAGCAGUGGGGGAUAUUGCACAAUGGGCGCAAGCCUGAUGCAGCGACGCCGCGUGGGGGAUGACGGCCUUCGGGUUGUAAACUCCUUUCAGCCAUGACGAAGCCCUUGUGGUGACGGUAGUGGUAGAAGAAGCACCGGCUAACUACGUG